AUCAGAGAGGGUGACAGUCCCGUCUGUGCCUCGGAGGCUCUGUGUGAAGGCCGCAUUACUAGAGUCGAGUUGCUUGGGAUUGCAGCUCAAAGUUGGUGGUAAAUUCCAUCUAAGGCUAAACACGGGUGGGAGACCGAUAGCGAACAAGUACUGUGAAGGAAAGAUGAAAAGAACUUUGAAAAGAGAGUCAAAGAGUGCCUGAAAUUGCUGAGAGGGAACCGUAGGUAACCAA
RNAcentral lists this ribosomal RNA (232 nucleotides) under Synedropsis cf. recta. RNAcentral describes it as "partial Eukaryotic large subunit ribosomal RNA". It matches the Rfam family "Eukaryotic large subunit ribosomal RNA", at positions 202 to 432 of the family's 3401-position model. The record is from RNAcentral. Lineage: Eukaryota; Bacillariophyta; Fragilariophyceae; Fragilariales; Fragilariaceae.